ACGCUCGACACCUACGGGAGGCAGCAGUGGGGAAUAUUGCACAAUGGGGGAAACCCUGAUGCAGCGACGCCGCGUGAGUGAAGAAGUAAUUCGUUAUGUAAAGCUCUAUCAGCAGGGAAGAAAGUGACGGUACCUGAGUAAGAAGCCCCGGCUAACUACGUGCCAUCAGCCGCGGUAAUCUGAGCGGCUGGCAAGGC
Molecule: ribosomal RNA, 197 nt
Filed under: uncultured bacterium
Lineage: Bacteria
Description: partial 16S ribosomal RNA
Rfam family: Bacterial small subunit ribosomal RNA
Source: RNAcentral